Molecule: ribosomal RNA, 740 nt
Filed under: uncultured Bacillota bacterium
Lineage: Bacteria; Bacillati; Bacillota
Description: bacterial SSU rRNA
Rfam family: Bacterial small subunit ribosomal RNA
Source: RNAcentral
UGACUUUACCGAGUGGCGAACGGGUGAGUAACGCGUGAGGAACCUGUCUCACACAGGGGGAUAACGCACCGAAAGGUGUGCUAAUACCGCAUAAGACCACAGUGCCGCAUGGCACAGAGGUCAAAGGAGAGAUCCGGUAUGAGGUGGACUCGCGUCCGAUUAGAUAGUUGGUGAGGUAACGGCCCACCAAGUCAACGAUCGGUAGCCGACCUGAGAGGGUGAUCGGCCACAUUGGGACUGAGACACGGCCCAGACUCCUACGGGAGGCAGCAGUGGGGAAUAUUGGGCAAUGGGCGCAAGCCUGACCCAGCAACGCCGCGUGAGGGAAGAAGGUUUUCGGAUUGUAAACCUCUGUCCUCAAUGAAAAGAGUAAGAUGGUAAUUGAGGAGGAAGCCCCGGCUAACUACGUGCCAGCAGCCGCGGUAAUACGUAGGGGGCGAGCGUUGUCCGGAAUGAUUGGGCGUAAAGGGCGCGUAGGCGGCCUGUUAAGUCUGGAGUGAAAGUCCUGCUUUCAAGGUGGGAAUUGCUUUGGAUACUGAUAGGCUUGAGUGCAGGAGGGGUUAUCGGAAUUCCCGGUGUAGCGGUGAAAUGCGUAGAGAUCGGGAGGAACACCAGUGGCGAAGGCGGGUAACUGGACUGCAACUGACGCUGAGGCGCGAAAGUGUGGGGAGCAAACAGGAUUAGAUACCCUGGUAGUCCACACUGUAAACGAUGAAUGCUAGGUGUAGGAGGUAUCGACC